RNAcentral lists this long non-coding RNA (507 nucleotides) under Brassica napus (rape). RNAcentral's name for it is "long non-coding RNA (BNAP_LNC008720)". The record is from RNAcentral. Lineage: Eukaryota; Viridiplantae; Streptophyta; Magnoliopsida; Brassicales; Brassicaceae.
CUUAUUAUAGAUAAAUUUUGAUUUCAGAUAUAAAAAUUUAGAUUUUUCCAGUUACUAAUUGUGAAUAUAUUGUUAUAUAUAUAUAAUGUUUUAUAAUAACAUGUCAAAUACAAUAUAAAUAUUACAUUAAACAUCUAUCAUAAUUUGAAUUUGAUAAAAGUGAGGGAGUUUGAUUGAUAAGGAGACAGAGGCUUAAAAUCCGAGAAAAGAAGUAGAAAUAACAAAUUCAAAAGCCGUGGAAGCUAAGCUAACAAGAUUGAAGAAUGGAUGUUUCAUUCGUUAUCUUUAAUCAGAUCAAAGAGGCGUGGAACAUCAUAGGAUGCCUUCACUUUCUCCUGCACACAAAAUAAUCACUCUCUCCUACAAAGAAUUGUAGAAAGAAUAUACAUUUUUAAGUUGCAGUAUGAGUAAUUAGGCGAAACAAUAUGAGGCUUUAGUAAAAAAAUAAAACAAAUAUCUUAUAAAAAUCAGUUUGAAAGUUUAAUAAGAUAUAAUAAAUUAAACAGU